Vespa velutina is the source of this 3263-nucleotide long non-coding RNA. RefSeq lists it as uncharacterized. The record is from RefSeq and is a predicted model, not a curated record. NCBI's taxonomy places the organism in Eukaryota, Metazoa, Arthropoda, Insecta, Hymenoptera, Vespidae. The transcript is spliced from 2 exons.
GUGAGAAGGAUACAGAAGAGAAAGGUACUCGUCUCGGUUAAGUGGAAAAGAGAUGGAUAGAGAAUCUUCGAGAGAAGAAAAAUCGUCUGGAACAUACUUGAAAGGGAUUCAGCUGUAGAUUUAAAUUAUUAUUGUUGUUGUUGUUAUUAUUAUUAUUAUUAUUAUUAUUAUUAUUAUUAUUAUUAUUAUUAUUGCCUUUGUUAUUGUUAUAGUAGUAGUAAUAACAGUAGUAAUUGUUGUUGUACUUAUAGUUGCUGCAAUAUUUGACAUUGUUACAUUUAUCUUCUCAAACUACUUGUGUAUCUGAUUAGGAAUAGGAAAUGACGUGUACCGUGAGAUUUCAAAGAGUGUUUUUUUAUCUUUAUCUUUAUAGAUUAUUUAGGAAUUUUUUUGCGAUACGCGUGCACGUCUUCAGGAUGAAUAAUUUCCGUAAUUGUAUUUAUAUGCGUUUGGAUUUAAUUGUAAUAUGCGGAUGGAAUGUAUUGAUUAACGUUGUGUGAUAUGAUUCCUUUGAUCGAUAAUACGAUACGGAAUUAUUUCUAAUUUUUCUUCUUGUUAUAACUCUUUUUACCGUCGACACCAUUUUGUUAUUAUUAUUUUUAUUAUUAUUAUUAUUAUUAUUACUAUUAUUAUUAUUAUUAUUAUUAUUAUUCAUAUUAUAAUUGACGAUUAAUAAGGUUCGUGUUUUGUUUCUUUUAUUAGAUUUUCAUUCGUUCGACGUAUGUCGGGGUCUUUUUCUCUUUCUUUCCUUUCUCUUUUUGUUUCCCUUCUUUUUUUUUUUUCCUUUAAAGAAAUCGUACGUCGUAUGUAAGUAAGACACGCGUGUUCUCUACAGAGGCGUAGAUGAAAACAGCAGGAAAAAGAAUAGAAUAAACACAUGUGUUCCUUUCGAAGAUUUUCGAAGCGUUAAAGCGACACAUGUACAACGUUGAAAUACACUUGUCACUUAGUUUAUUCACUAAGUUCUAUUUCUUUCGAAAUAUAUACUUACACACUUUUCACCUAAUUCCAUUCUAAUUAUCUUGGACAUUGAAGGUAUAUAUAUGUACACAUAUAUAGAAUCGAAUAACAGGUUCAAAUAAGUACAAGGUGAUUCCUCAUAGAAAAGAAAAGAAAAAGAAAAUAAUAGUACAAAAUGUGCCUAUCCCAGGCCUCAAUUUUUGAAAGAAAAUUGAGUUAGAAGAUUCACUGCGUGAGAACUAAAAUGUAAAUUCAUCUGAACGAUUCAACGUGUAUCUAACGUCUUUUUAAACAACGUUAAACAAUCUCAAAUAAUACAUACGAUAUAUACGUACGAACUUGAUUUAUCAUGUUGAGUAUAUUACAGGACACCCGUUAUAUAUAAUAAACCUAUAAACUAAAAAUGUUUCUCUGCUAAUAAGAAAAAUUAAUUACUAUUUUAUUCGUCGUACGUACUUCUAAAGGUUCAUCGUCAUCUUGGUCACAGAUUCCGGAUUAUCCUCGAUAGAAAAGAGGACAAAGAGGAAGAAGAAGAAGAAAAAGAUGAUGAUGAUGAUGAUGAAGAAGAAGAAGAGAAACAGAAAAGAAGAGAAACCGGUCUUAUGGUAGCUCUGGAACAAGGAAAGGAUCCUUCAGGACCAUCGACCUUGGCUUUCCCGCCAAAACUCAGCAGCCAAGGGAAGCCUACAUAUGCGCGAACGUAUCGUGAGAUAGAGACACGGAGAAAGAUAUAUAUAUGUAUAUAUGUAUAGAGAGAGAGAGAGAGAGAGAGAGAGAGAGAGAGAGAGAAAAUAUACAGAUAAAAAAGAAAGAAAAGAAAGAACGUCGCCGGAAGGGCCAGGCAUUGGGCCAUGUAAGAAUAAGGGCCCUAUACUCGUCGACCGCCUUCGCCGAUAAAUAUUGUAAGAGGAUGUCAACCUGUUUGUCCGUGUGUAACAGGACUCUCUACAAGAAAGAUUUCACCAUGGUAAGUCUAAUCUUUCCCAGGAUUCGAAGACAUCUUCCUUCUUUUUCUAUCUUUCUCUCUCUCUUUCAAAAUUUUCAAGAAAGAAUACUUAAACCUACUUCCACUCCCUUUACCACCUACUCACAUUCCUAGAUUUUACUAUAAAACUUUUUACAGGGGAAAAGAAAAACAUAUAUAUGAACGUUCCUUUCCUUGAAACGAACGAAACAAAUGUCAAUAAGAACGUUAACAAGUCAAAAUUCGUCAAUUUUGAUUUACAAAACAUUUUCAAUGACGUAUUUUCAAUUACGUCGAACAUAUCGAUCGAUGAAUUAUUCUCGUCCAUCUUCUUUUUUUCUUCUUUUGUAUUUUUUAUUUCAUAUUAUUUUAUUUUCUUGAUUUUUUUCAUUUUCUUAACUCAUAAGUCCAACGCGUACCCCAUAUGGCUCUUCUAACAAAGAUAGAAACGCGGAAGGAUGAUAACUGCUAACGUGGCGUGGAUGAUUCUGCAUUUAAAUCGAAAAAUGAAGAGGAUUCUUUGAGCAUGGCGCCGAACAUAAAAGACAUAAUAAACAUAGACAGACAGAUACCUUUGAAAUUAAUUCAAAUUAAUCAAGAAAAGAAGAAGAAAAAAGAAAGAAAGAAAAAUUUGUUUCGUACAUCCCGAAAAGUCUAAAUUAAUUUUUCUUCCUCUUUCCCUCGCUUCUUUAAAUCGAUCCCGCCUUUUUCUCCCUUUCCCUCCACUACCCGCCCCUCCCCAACCACCGUCGACCUCUUCUUCAUCCUUCUUUCUUUUUACUUUUUUUUCAAAUGUAUCACAGUGUGCACCUCAAAAAGCGUUCGCUAUGGGUUUAAAGGGACUGAUCUAUCAUUUGAGAUUUCCUCCUAAGUACGGAUACAACAAACCGGAGAAGCAACAACAGCACAGGUCCCACAAACGGGGAAGAAGAGAGGAAACGUUAUGGGUAUCAUAAAAAUGGAUAACACAUGGCGCAUAGUAUGUAUGGUUACAGAUACGGAACCAUCGAGAAGUAUCGAGGGGAGAAAGAGACUAGGGGUGACGAAGUGGAGAGGUUAAGGUGAGGUAAUUCCGAAUACAUAUAUAUAUAUAUAUAUAUUUACGUAGUCGAGGAGACCAUGAUAAGAGGAAGAAAGACGGGAAGAGGCCUUCGCCAUGACAGACUUCCGGAGGAAGUCGAGGCAUCGCGCGUGACACGCGCCCUCCAAGUUCACCUAGUUCCUUAAUCUUUCUCUCUCUUUCGUGGACAUAUGCCUUCGUAAUCGCAUAGAUAAUCACAUAGAUGAUCAGACAUGGCCUUUGGCACGACAUAAAUAAACGAUUACUAUUAUAAUCAAA